Molecule: ribosomal RNA, 512 nt
Filed under: uncultured bacterium
Lineage: Bacteria
Description: partial 16S ribosomal RNA
Rfam family: Bacterial small subunit ribosomal RNA
Source: RNAcentral
GACGAACGCUGGCGGCGUGCCUAAUACAUGCAAGUCGAGCGGAACUGGGGGAGCUUGCUCCUUCCAGUUUAGCGGCGGACGGGUGAGUAACACGUGGGCAACCUGCCCUGCAGAUCGGGAUAACUCCGGGAAACCGGUGCUAAUACCGAAUAGUUUGGCGCCUCUCCUGAGGCGCCACGGAAAGACGGUUUCGGCUGUCACUGCAGGAUGGGCCCGCGGCGCAUUAGCUAGUUGGUGGGGUAACGGCCCACCAAGGCGACGAUGCGUAGCCGGCCUGAGAGGGUGAUCGGCCACGCUGGGACUGAGACACGGCCCAGACUCCUACGGGAGGCAGCAGUAGGGAAUCUUCCGCAAUGGACGCAAGUCUGACGGAGCAACGCCGCGUGAGUGACGAAGGUUUUCGGAUCGUAAAACUCUGUUGUGAGGGAAGAACACGUACCAACUAACUAUUGGUACCUUGACGGUACCUCACCAGAAAGCCACGGCUAACUACGUGCCAGCAGCCGCCGUAA